RNAcentral lists this non-coding RNA (28 nucleotides) under Bombyx mori (domestic silkworm). The record is from RNAcentral. Lineage: Eukaryota; Metazoa; Arthropoda; Insecta; Lepidoptera; Bombycidae.
UAUAGAUUCAUGGUACUUCGAGGUAAGC